RNAcentral lists this ribosomal RNA (586 nucleotides) under Vibrio scophthalmi. Its description in RNAcentral is "bacterial SSU rRNA". It matches the Rfam family "Bacterial small subunit ribosomal RNA", at positions 89 to 671 of the family's 1533-position model. The record is from RNAcentral. Lineage: Bacteria; Pseudomonadati; Pseudomonadota; Gammaproteobacteria; Vibrionales; Vibrionaceae.
UGACGAGCGGCGGACNGGUGAGUAAUGCCUGGGAAUAUGCCUUGAUGUGGGGGAUAACUAUUGGAAACGAUAGCUAAUACCGCAUAAUGCCUACGGGCCAAAGAGGGGGAUCUUCGGACCUCUCGCGUCAAGAUUAGCCCAGGUGGGAUUAGCUAGUUGGUGAGGUAAUGGCUCACCAAGGCGACGAUCCCUANCUGGUCUGAGAGGAUGAUCNGNCACACUGGAACUGAGACACGGUCCAGACUCCUACGGGAGGCAGCAGUGGGGAAUAUUGCACAAUGGGCGCAAGCCUGAUGCAGCCAUGCCGCGUGUGUGAAGAAGGCCUUCGGGUUGUAAAGCACUUUCAGUCGUGAGGAAGGUAGUUGCGUUAAUAGCGUAAUUAUUUGACGUUAGCGACAGAAGAAGCACCGGCUAACUCCGUGCCAGCAGCCGCGGUAAUACGGAGGGUGCGAGCGUUAAUCGGAAUUACUGGGCGUAAAGCGCAUGCAGGUGGUUCGUUAANUCANAUGUGAAAGCCCGGGGCUCAACCUCNGAAUUGCAUUUGAAACUGGCGGACUANANUACUGUANAGGGGGGUANAAUUUCA